ACCUCGGUGGUGUAGUGGUAGCACGCGUUCCCGGUAUGGACGAAACGCGGGUUCGACUCUCGCCUUAGAUC
Non-coding RNA from Parelaphostrongylus tenuis, 71 nucleotides. NCBI's taxonomy places the organism in Eukaryota, Metazoa, Nematoda, Chromadorea, Rhabditida, Metastrongylidae. The record is from the annotation of a GenBank genome assembly.